GACGAACGCUGGCGGCAUGCCUAAUACAUGCAAGUCGAACGCUGAAGCACUCUGCUUGCCGAGUGCGGCUGAGUGGCGAACGGGUGAGUAACACGUGGGAAAUCUGCCUAUAAGAGGGGGAUAACAUUCGGAAACGGAUGCUAAUACCGCAUAUAUUCUUGGACCGCCUGGUCCUUGAAAGAAAGACGGCUUUGCUGUCGCUUAUAGAUGAUCCCGCGGCGUAUUAGUUAGUUGGUGGGGUAAAGGCCUACCAAGACAAUGAUACGUAGCCGACCUGAGAGGGUGAUCGGCCACACUGGGACUGAGACACGGCCCAGACUCCUACGGGAGGCAGCAGUAGGGAAUCUUCCACAAUGGGCGAAAGCCUGAUGGAGCAAUGCCGCGUGAAUGAAGAAGGUCUUCGGAUCGUAAAGUUCUGUUAUUAGAGAAGAACAAGUCAAGGAGUAACUGUCUUGACUUUGACGGUACCUAACCAGAAAGUCACGGCUAACUACGUG
This 497-nucleotide ribosomal RNA is filed under the name uncultured bacterium. Its description in RNAcentral is "partial 16S ribosomal RNA". It matches the Rfam family "Bacterial small subunit ribosomal RNA", at positions 28 to 507 of the family's 1533-position model. The record is from RNAcentral.